ACUUAAAUUGAAGAGUUUGAUCAUGGCUCAGAUUGAACGCUGGCGGCAGGCCUAACACAUGCAAGUCGAGCGGUAGCACAGAGAGCUUGCUCUCGGGUGACGAGCGGCGGACGGGUGAGUAAUGUCUGGGAAACUGCCUGAUGGAGGGGGAUAACUACUGGAAACGGUAGCUAAUACCGCAUAACGUCGCAAGACCAAAGUGGGGGACCUUCGGGCCUCAUGCCAUCAGAUGUGCCCAGAUGGGAUUAGCUAGUAGGUGGGGUAACGGCUCACCUAGGCGACGAUCCCUAGCUGGUCUGAGAGGAUGACCAGCCACACUGGAACUGAGACACGGUCCAGACUCCUACGGGAGGCAGCAGUGGGGAAUAUUGCACAAUGGGCGCAAGCCUGAUGCAGCCAUGCCGCGUGUGUGAAGAAGGCCUUCGGGUUGUAAAGCACUUUCAGCGGGGAGGAAGGCGUUAAGGUUAAUAACCUUAGCGAUUGACGUUACCCGCAGAAGAAGCACCGGCUAACUCCGUGCCAGCAGCCGCGGUAAUACGGAGGGUGCAAGCGUUAAUCGGAAUUACUGGGCGUAAAGCGCACGCAGGCGGUCUGUCAAGUCGGAUGUGAAAUCCCCGGGCUCAACCUGGGAACUGCAUUCGAAACUGGCAGGCUAGAGUCUUGUAGAGGGGGGUAGAAUUCCAGGUGUAGCGGUGAAAUGCGUAGAGAUCUGGAGGAAUACCGGUGGCGAAGGCGGCCCCCUGGACAAAGACUGACGCUCAGGUGCGAAAGCGUGGGGAGCAAACAGGAUUAGAUACCCUGGUAGUCCACGCCGUAAACGAUGUCGAUUUGGAGGUUGUGCCCUUGAGGCGUGGCUUCCGGAGCUAACGCGUUAAAUCGACCGCCUGGGGAGUACGGCCGCAAGGUUAAAACUCAAAUGAAUUGACGGGGGCCCGCACAAGCGGUGGAGCAUGUGGUUUAAUUCGAUGCAACGCGAAGAACCUUACCUGGUCUUGACAUCCACAGAACUUUCCAGAGAUGGAUUGGUGCCUUCGGGAACUGUGAGACAGGUGCUGCAUGGCUGUCGUCAGCUCGUGUUGUGAAAUGUUGGGUUAAGUCCCGCAACGAGCGCAACCCUUAUCCUUUGUUGCCAGCGGUUAGGCCGGGAACUCAAAGGAGACUGCCAGUGAUAAACUGGAGGAAGGUGGGGAUGACGUCAAGUCAUCAUGGCCCUUACGACCAGGGCUACACACGUGCUACAAUGGCAUAUACAAAGAGAAGCGACCUCGCGAGAGCAAGCGGACCUCAUAAAGUAUGUCGUAGUCCGGAUUGGAGUCUGCAACUCGACUCCAUGAAGUCGGAAUCGCUAGUAAUCGUAGAUCAGAAUGCUACGGUGAAUACGUUCCCGGGCCUUGUACACACCGCCCGUCACACCAUGGGAGUGGGUUGCAAAAGAAGUAGGUAGCUUAACCUUCGGGAGGGCGCUUACCACUUUGUGAUUCAUGACUGGGGUGAAGUCGUAACAAGGUAACCGUAGGGGAACCUGCGGUUGGAUCACCUCCUUACCUUAAAGAA
This 1554-nucleotide ribosomal RNA is filed under the name Klebsiella pneumoniae. RNAcentral describes it as "bacterial SSU rRNA". It matches the Rfam family "Bacterial small subunit ribosomal RNA". Lineage: Bacteria; Pseudomonadati; Pseudomonadota; Gammaproteobacteria; Enterobacterales; Enterobacteriaceae. The record is from RNAcentral.